Felis catus (domestic cat) is the source of this 83-nucleotide non-coding RNA. NCBI's taxonomy places the organism in Eukaryota, Metazoa, Chordata, Mammalia, Carnivora, Felidae. The record is from Rfam.
GCUCAGUUGGUUAAGUGUCAGACUCCUGAUUUCAGUUCAGGUCAUGAUCUCAUGGUUUAUGGGUUAGAGUCCCUCAUUGGGCU